Molecule: long non-coding RNA, 1821 nt
Filed under: Anser brachyrhynchus (Pink-footed goose)
Lineage: Eukaryota; Metazoa; Chordata; Aves; Anseriformes; Anatidae
Description: lncRNA (ENSABRG00000007869.1)
Source: RNAcentral
GAAAUAUAUGUGAUUAUAUUAUCUGCCAUAUUGUAUUUAAUUUUGUUUAUAUUUAAUAUUGAUUUAUAUUUAAUAAAGUAAAAAAGUGAUGCGUAACAUUAGCAAGAGUCAGCAGUUACCCUAUAAAAGUGGUCGAAAACUGGCUAGUUCAAAUAGAUUUCAGAAACUCAGUGACAGACACAUCCUGUGUGUUUGGUUGCAUAAAUUGACUUGUUGGAUGAUGUUGACGUGAAAAAAAUAAAAAAGAAAGGUGCUAUAGACAGGAAAAGAUUACAUUAGAGCAGGAACAACAUGACCAACUAUCAUAACCAAGCUGACCUCCUGGACUAACCAUGCACUGGAACUUCAGGGCCAAAUGAACUCAUCUCUGUAGAAAUUAAAUUUCAAUAGAUUUAUAACAAAGACUUCAGGAUUUACUUCUCUCCAAACCCUUUGUCUUCAGCAGUAGGGAAAAGGAGGGAGUACUCCUAGCCCCACGCUUGGCUUGCACCGCUGAUGACCUCAGCUGAUUGCAGUGAUGCAAUAAUGUGGGAGUGAGGUCAUAAGGAACAGCAGGUGGGAUACUUGGGGGUCUUGUAGUCAGGGGUCUUGCAGUUGGGGGUAGAGGGUUCAGUCUGCCAACUUGUGGAGGCAGUUCAGCAUCUCCUGAAGAGCAAGGAGACUGUCUGCUGUGAUGGAAGAUAGAGGAGGUUUCUUCAUGCCUGCUUUCUCACAUUCACAUGAAGAGCCCACACAACCAGGGAGAGCUGGCUGACUAAUGGGUGAUAGAGAGGAAACAGUGACAGGCAGGAAGGCAGCAGUGGGGCACAUGGGUCCAGCGGAGAGUGGGAUGCGGGGGCUCGCCCCUAGCUGCUUGUUGCAUCUUCCCAGGGUCAUCAUUUGCACUCCUGAACACAUUUCAUCUGCCAGCUCUGCUGUAACCCCACAGCUUGAAAUUCAACUUGGUGUCUCAAAUGGGUAUUGGAUGUAGUAAGGUGGCUGUUGUGCGUGAAGUGUCACACAUUGUUAAGGCUUGUGCUCUAAUUAACUCAAAGUGGCAUAGACCAGGAUUGUAUAAUUGUGUCCUUAUUAACACGUGAGGCUUGACAGGAAUUACUGGGCUUGGUUAAUGUUAAUGUUCAACAAGUUAAUUUGAUGUAAGUGAAUCAAUAUCUUUCCCAAUGUCAUGUUAAGUUAAACAUACAUAAAAUAUCAAAAAAAAAAAAAGAAAAGGCUAACUUUUCUUCUUAUUGAGGCUGAUGUGCCUUAGGUUUCUUUAAAAGGAAACAAAAGUAGGAAUCCUUACCUAUCCAUAGCAUUUGAGAUCAGAUCAUCUGAGGCUUUCUCUCUCCAAACUGACGUGCCUCUGAUACUUUACUACAGAGUUAGACAACAACUUAGCCUCUGAGAAGCGUUGUUUCCUAUGUGCAUGUUUUGAGGUGUAAAUUCUGUUGAAUGCUCCAUAGCAGUUUUGUAGAUCUGGUGCUCACAUAUCCCUUGUCAUUAAUCCUGGAAAUAAUUUCUAAAGCUGGAAUUCCAUUUUUAAGUUCAUCCUCCUCUCAGGACAGACUGGUUAAAUCCACUACCUGAGUUCCUGCUCAAAAGCCAGCAUUGCUUGCAGGUGGAGACAUCAACACUGUGUACCAACGUUAGCUCAGUCUUCCCAAAAAGCACAGGGAUUGCUCGGCUGAGUCCAGCUCCAUCAAAGUAGUUUUAUGUGGUUUUAAAAACAGCCCAGUGACACGUAGAGGAAACAUGCAGCAGCCAAUUUGCUCCUUUUGCAUAGCUGGGAGCCAGAGGUUGGAGAAUAAAUUCAGUCUACAGUGGGUAAAUAUGGGGAGG